RNAcentral lists this small RNA (127 nucleotides) under Marmota monax (woodchuck). Lineage: Eukaryota; Metazoa; Chordata; Mammalia; Rodentia; Sciuridae. The record is from RNAcentral.
GCUGGGCAGGGUGGCGCACUCCUGUAAUCCUAGCAGCUUAGGAGGCUGAGGCAGGAGGAUUGCUAGUUCAAAGCCAGCCUCACACACUUAGCAAGGCCCUAAGCAACUCAGCAAGACCCUUUCUCUA